This 822-nucleotide ribosomal RNA is filed under the name Allogalathea elegans. RNAcentral describes it as "12S ribosomal RNA". The record is from RNAcentral. Lineage: Eukaryota; Metazoa; Arthropoda; Malacostraca; Decapoda; Galatheidae.
UUAAAGUUUGAUUUUUGCUUAAAAAAUUUUAUGUUUUGGUAGAAUUUUAUAUGAAAAUUUUGAUUAUCCAUUUGAUUAGAUAAAAAUUAAAAAUUAAAUCAACAUUAUAGUUUGUAGGGUCUCAGUAUAUAGUAUUGAAAAAUAAAUUAAGGUUUGAUUCAGUUACUAAAUUAAUUCUGGCUAAAUUUUGUGCCAGCAGCCGCGGUUAUACAUUAAGAGUAAAUAAAAUAGGUUUGGAGAGUAAAGAUGUGGUUAUUUUAUUUUAUAUUGUUUUGAUUAUAUGUCAGGUAAAAUUGAAUUAUAUUUAUUAAUAUGAAUUUUGGAUAGAAAAAGUGAACUAAUUUAUGAAAUUUAAAUUAUAAACUAGGAUUAGAUACCCUAUUAUAUUUAUUUGAAAUGAUUAUCUCUGGUUAGUAAUAGUUAUAAUCUUUAAAACUAAAAAAUUUGGCGGCAUUUUAGUCCUUUUAGAGGAACUUGUUUUGUAAUCGAUAAACCUCGAAAUAUCUUGCUUGUUUUCAAUAGUUUGUAUACCGUCAUUAUUAGAUAACUUUUAUAGAAUAAGAUGUUGAAAUUUAGAAGUGAGAAAAUAUAUUAGAUCAAGGUGCAGCUUAAAUUCAAGAAAAAAUGAGUUACAAUAAUAUUUUGUUAUAAAUGGAUGGUAGAAUGAAUAUUUUAUUUGAAGGUGGAUUUAAUUGUAUAAUUUAUUUAUUAAGAUAAUUUGAUAUAGGCUCUAUAAUGUGUACAUAUCGCCCGUCGCUUUCACAUUUAAGGUGAAAUAAGUCGUAACAUAGUAGGUGAACUGGAAAGUUUAUCUAGAUAGCA